GCAGACACAUUCCAGCCAGUCAGCAGCAGACCCUCCCUCCCAGACCCUCCCACCUCCUGGACAGCUCACUAAGAAUGCAGAUUCACAAUGAAUGUAAAAUGGAUGCUGUCCAGGAGGUGGGAGGGUCUGGGAGGGAGGGUCUGCUGCUGAUUGGCUGGAAUGUGUCUG
Molecule: microRNA precursor, 168 nt
Filed under: Pelobates cultripes (western spadefoot toad)
Lineage: Eukaryota; Metazoa; Chordata; Amphibia; Anura; Pelobatidae
Source: RNAcentral